This 425-nucleotide ribosomal RNA is filed under the name uncultured bacterium. RNAcentral's name for it is "partial 16S ribosomal RNA". It matches the Rfam family "Bacterial small subunit ribosomal RNA", at positions 354 to 796 of the family's 1533-position model. The record is from RNAcentral.
GUGGGGAAUCUUGCGCAAUGGGCGAAAGCCUGACGCAGCCAUGCCGCGUGAAUGAUGAAGGUCUUAGGAUUGUAGAAUUCUUUCACCGGGGACGAUAAUGACGGUACCCGGAGAAGAAGCUCCGGCUAACUUCGUGCCAGCAGCCGCGGUAAUACGAAGGGGGCUAGCGUUGCUCGGAAUUACUGGGCGUAAAGGGCGCGUAGGCGGACAGCUUAGUCAGAGGUGAAAGCCCAGGGCUAAACCUUGGAAUUGCCUUUGAUACUGGCUGUCUUGAGUUUGGGAGAGGUGAGUGGAACUCCGAGUGUAGAGGUGAAAUUCGUAGAUAUUCGGAAGAACACCAGUGGCGAAGGCGACUCACUGGCCCAAUACUGACGCUGAGGCGCGAAAGCGUGGGGAGCAAACAGGAUUAGAUACCCGUGUAGUCC